CGUAGGGAGUCGCCUAGAAGUGACCGUACCGUAAGGAGCGUCCUAGGGUAAAAUCGGUAACUGGGGCU
Molecule: ribosomal RNA, 68 nt
Filed under: uncultured bacterium
Lineage: Bacteria
Description: partial 16S ribosomal RNA
Source: RNAcentral